Molecule: long non-coding RNA, 836 nt
Organism: Dama dama (fallow deer)
Lineage: Eukaryota; Metazoa; Chordata; Mammalia; Artiodactyla; Cervidae
Exons: 3
Source: RefSeq, a predicted model, not a curated record
GGUGUGAAGAGCCAGGCUUCUGCGGCCCCAGGCCACCAGCACUAGCCUGACCCUCCUGUCUACCAGCCAAGCAGGGAGGAGAGCUGCGGACAGGCAGUCCAACACUGUCUGCUUGCUAGAGGAGGAGGUCCAGGAAGGGCGUUGAAAGGGACUCCUCUCCGGCCGCUGGGCAGAGGUUGCUUGAGCCCUUGUGCAAGCUGAAAGCGACAUGUUAGCAAACCAACUUCCCAAGUCCACUAGGAAGGCCAGGGCAGGUCUCUUAUGGCCUAAGUCCUAAGCUGCUGUGACCCUUGUGACAUGACUCUCAAAGUUCUUCCCAGUUUACCCUGCGUGGCACAUGAAGGUCCAAGGGCUCACCAGCAUCACCCUUUCCCCUGGUCUGGUUCUGGGCUCGCUGCGGUGGUAAGGGGAUGCCAGUCUGAAGGCUGUACCAUGGGACACCAGCAGGAGAGCUCAAUCUGAGCCACCUGGAUGCCCAAGGAGCUACCACAGUAAUUCUUGAACUCUGAGAACAGAAUCCUUGCAUGUGGGCAAGGCUGCUGGGAACCUGCAGCUCAGUUUCCUUAUUUGAGAGGGGAAAGACUUGGCCAGAGAGGUGACGUGAAUGGCCAAGGUCACUUAGGGCAGUUGGUGGCACAGAAACACAGAUCCCGGAAAGCAGCGCAUUACAGCCUGCACCGUCUGGGAGUGAGCUUGGGGCGGCGACCAGACUGGCUCCUGCAAGAUUUGGAACAUCAGGAUGAUGUACCCACCUCUCAAGAUUGUUGUGAGAACUUACAGUAUUGGCGCGAAAAGGCCAGCGAUCACCAUCCGGGUAUUUUGCCUCUCUUGCUUUG